This is a non-coding RNA of Podarcis lilfordi (Lilford's wall lizard), 4704 nucleotides long. The record is from the annotation of a GenBank genome assembly. Lineage: Eukaryota; Metazoa; Chordata; Lepidosauria; Squamata; Lacertidae.
CUAUUCCGGGCACCGCUCAGCAGGGUGAUGUUUCCGAGUCUUCGGUAGAGGAUAGCCUUCUUCCACCACCGAGACCCUCUUCUGGUGGACACCGUCGCCGCAAAAAGAGCUCCAGGAGGCACGCCAAGAGAAGGCGGAGGGACACUUCAUCCUCUCCCUCAGGUACUUCAUCCUCUAGUUCAAGCAGCGAUGAGGAGGCCUCUCUUAAGCUUUAUUGGGGCUUUGGGGAGUCGGCGGGGCUUCCAAAAUGGGCUUGGGAGCGAAGGGCUAACUCUCAUAGGGCAAAGUACGGGGCAGUGCAGGAUUGUCGGGAUGGGGUUCUGGUACCUGAGGUAAAGGUCGCCACCAAUUCGGUCAGGGACCUCAUACCCGGUGCCCACUUGACUACCAAGCUGCGGUCCAGGAUUUUGGACGGCCGUUAUAUUGACAUAUUCAGCCUGGCCCCUCCGCAAGAGGGCCAGGACCCACAGGACAAAGGCUCUGCUGCCUCUAAAAAACGGGCGGUGUUAGCAAAGGUGGAUAGGACAUUUGAAAGGUGGCUGGAUAGCUUCCAAGUUUUUGCUGGAGUGGUGUCUGCAGCUUAUCCUAGGAGAUCUUUGCAUCUAUGGGUGUAUUUGUCUAUUGUCCGUUCGGCCUUCACGAUGGCUGGAGAAUCCGCGGCAAUAUCGUAUGAUGAGAACUUUAGGCGCAGGGCAGCUAAGAUCCCCACGGCCCGCUGGGACCGGAAGGAUUUGGACGUAUGGACCACUUUUGUGGCUCCGCGUAUUGACAAGAAGGCUGCAGAACCUCAGAAAUCUAAGGCUGUCCUACCAAGGGUGGGUCGUAAGUUGUUUUGCUGGGAUUUUACCAAGGGUACCUGCCUGCGACAAUUCUGCAGGUACGCACAUGCAUGUGAGAAGUGUUCUGGGAACCAUCCAGCUUCAGCUUGUGCAGGGGGCCGUCGGUCCUUUCGGAAAGGGGGGGCUCCCAGCAGCCCUCAAAAGCCGCUCCCCCGGCUCCAGCCGCUGGAGCAGCAAAGUAGUAUCUUGUCUUCUUUAGCCUAUACCCCGGUACGGCUACAGCCGCUGCUGUUAUUAUUGCAGUCAUAUCCAGACAGGGUUUCGGCGUCUUAUUUGCGGGAUGGUUUUUCUUUGGGCUUCAGGAUUCCAGUGGUUGCCACGCCGGUGGCUAGGAGUCCUGCGAAUCAGAGGUCAGUUUUGGACAUGCCAGAGGUGGCACGCAAGAAGAUCGGGAAGGAGCUGGCUUUACGUCGCAUGGCCGGCCCUUUUGUUGUUCCCCCAUUUCCCAAUUUGCAUAUUUCACCGUUGGGUAUUGUUCCUAAAAAAGCUCAGGGGGAAUUUCGCCUAAUUCACAAUCUAUCACACCCUAAGGGCACAUCAGUAAAUGAUGUUAUUCCCCCGGAGCUUUGUACGGUGAAGUAUGCUUCCCUUGAUCAAGCGAUCAAGAUGGUACGGAAAUUUGGGCCAGGCGCCCUAUUGGCCAAAUGCGACAUAGAAUCCGCAUUUCGGCUGCUUCCCAUUCAUCCCGAUGACUUCUGGUUACUGGGCUUCCAGUUUGAUGGAGGAUUUUACUUUGAUAAGGCCAUGCCUAUGGGCUGCUCGGUAGCCUGUGCGGCUUUUGAGCGUUUUAGUUCAUUUUUGGAUUGGACUUUGCGCAAAAGGACUGGUCUAAGCGGUGUCACGCAUUACCUGGAUGAUUUUUUAUUGGCCUCAGCUAAUGAUACAGGGCACUGCGUCGUGUUACUGCAGGCCUUUGCCGACUUAGCGGAAGAGCUUGGCGUGCCGUUAGCCGCGGAGAAGACUGAAGGUCCUUCUACGCGUCUGACUUAUUUGGGUAUCUUGUUGGAUACCGUGGCUCAAACAUCCAGGUUGCUGGCAGAUAAAAUACUUGCGCUUAAAGGAGUCAUUGAGGAACUGCUGCCCUUGAAGAAGGUGACCUUGCGACAGUUACAGUCGUUGCUGGGUCACCUGAAUUUUGCUUGUAGGGUGGUCGCCCCGGGGCGACCAUUCUGCUCACGUUUGGCCAGACUCAUGUCAGGUUUGAGAUCCCCGCAGCAUAGGGUGCGCCUGUCAGCCCAGGUGAGGGCUGACCUUCGGAUCUGGUUGGAAUUCCUGGAGGAAUUCAACGGGGUGUCUAUGUGGCAGGACACUUUGAACCUCCACACUGAUUUUCAGGUGCAUUCCGAUGCCGCGGGGUCUUUGGGGUUUGGCCUGUAUUGGGAUGGUAGGUGGUGUGCAGAGCGCUGGCCACUAGCUUGGCGUGGGGAAUCCAUAACUCGGGACCUAACUUUUCUGGAAUUUUUCCCAUUGUAGUGGCUGUGCAUUUGUGGGUCGAGCAUUUCAGGGACCAUCGAGUUUGUUUUUGGUCCGAUAACCUGGCUGUGGUGAACGUGCUAGCCAAGCAGUCUUCACGAUCCACUAGGGUAUCAGCCCUAUUGCGGGCUUUUGUUUUACAUUGCUUGCGUUUUAACAUUGUAUUUUCUGCUCGUUUUGUUCCUGGCGUGUCUAAUGACAUUGCUGAUGCUCAGUCCCGUUUUCAGAUGGAGCGGUUCAGGUCCCUGGCGCCAGUGGCUCGAGACCGUCCGGAAUUUUUCCCGGAUCAUCUCUGGAACCUUGGCAGCACUUAGUUUUACAGGGAGUAGCUGCAUCUCUUGCCCCCUCCACUUUGAGGUCUUAUAAGAAGGCUUGGACUGAUUUUUUACAGUUCACUGGGCAGCAGGUGGUGGGGGGAGUGGGUAGCCCCCAUUCUACCACCCAGGUGCACCACCCUGGCACACCUAUUUCAGAGGCGUCGGGCAAACAGGACGCUGAGACUGCAUUCCGCAGCAAUUUCCUUCUUUAGCAAGGCAAUUUUUAACAAGGAUCCAUGUGGGAAAUUUGUGGUGCGAAAGGCACUUGAAGGCUGGGGGCGACUGCGUCCCUCUAGACCAACUUCCAGGCAGCCCAUCACAUUUCAUCUGCUGACUAGGAUGCGCAGCAAACUGAGGAGCAUCUGUUGGUCCAGGUUUGAGGCUCGGUUGUUUUCCGCAGCCUUUUCUUUAGCCUUCUUCGGGGCCCUGAGAGUGGGGGAGGUGGUCCUUGAGCCUAAGCGGGAUGGAGGUUCUAGGGGUUUGUUGCUGCAGGACGUGAGCUUGUCUCCGUCAGAAGUGCAAGUCAAUGUCAGGAGUUCAAAAACGGAUCAACUGGGAAGGGGAGCGGUGAUUCGGCUCCCAGCAACUGGGAAAGGGGGUCCUUGCCCGGUCAAGGAUCUCUGGAAAUACAUGGCCUUACGACCACCAGGUGAUGGCCCUUUGUUUAUUCAUGAAAAUGGGCACCCGUUGGCCCGUCACCAGUUCACCAAGGUGCUGCGCAAGGUGAUUGUUGCCUGCGGCCUGGUGGCUUCUGAGUUUGCUCCUCAUUCCUUUCGGAUAGGGGCUGCAACGACUGCGGCUCACUGGGGUUUAUCAGUGGAGAGGAUUAAGGACCUGGGCCGGUGGAGGUCGGACGCGUACAGAGGUUAUGUACGGAAAUGACGGAUUUCAUGCGCUUACGUUUUGUUUUACCCUAGGCCCAGCAACUAUACGCAUCUGGAUUGUGGGGCACAGUAUUGUAUACUGGGCUGCUAGCAGAGCUCGUCAGUCCGGAAUGGGUGAUGGCCUUGGCCUGCCACAGCACGUACGGGUGUCCUGGAUCUCCAGAAGGGGGAUGCUGUGGAAGGAGCUUCUACCGCUUAUGCAGAGGCGUGUUCUCAUGGAAGGCCCUCCUUCAGCGAUUGUGGUUCAGCUCGGAGAAAAUGAUAUGGUGUCAUCUUCCUGUUAUGUCCUGCGGGCUGUUAUGUUGGAAGAUUUGCGGGAAUUGGCGGCCAUGGUGCCGGCAACUAAAAUAAUUUGGUCACAGUUGCUUCAACGCCGUAAGUGGCGAGGUAGCCCCUGUUUGGCGGCCACUGAACGGGUUAGAAAGCGGAUUAAUUCUGCAGUGAGCAAGUUGGUGGUCAAUUUGGGUGGGUUUGUGAUUCCACACCCUCUGAUUACGUUCAAAGCCGCUGAAUUGUUUAUGAUGGAUGGGGUUCAUCUGUCUUCUGUUGGAAAUGAUGUGUGGUUACAUUCAGUGGUGGAUAAGUUGAGGGCGUGUUUGAGGCUGUGAGUGGUUGGCGGCGAGCGUAAGGGCUCGAGUGGCGGUUAGGCAUUGGUUUAAAUUGGUUGGUGGAGGGGUAUGGAUUGGCUGUGCCUGCCCCUCCAAUGCUGUUGCUGCACGGGAAUUCCGUUAAAGGAAUUCAGGGGCUUACCAUCCUUUCGUCCAAACCCCUGGAAUCGGGUUUGGGCCGUGUAAGCCCCUAGGAGCAUGCAGGGAGAAGCUGAGGGUCUGUGUCGCAGCUCCAGUCAUCCCUGAACUUGUUCCUCCACACUGGCUUUCGCUGGAAUCUGGGAGCCAGUGCUGUCCCCAAUGUGGGGGGGGACAGAUAGUCAUAACCAAUGCCUAAGCAACCACUCACAAUUUGUAUGAUAAUAAAGUUGUGGCCAAAAUUAUGCCAAAAACCUUAAACAAAAAUUAUGUGUGAUGUGUGAGUUAUUGGGGUAAGGGUGUUUUGGGGGGACCUCAGCACGCAACCCCAGUGUUAAAGGUAAUGUGCCUCUGAAUACCAACUAUUGGAGGUCCUAAGCAGGAGAAUGAUGCUUGUUGGCUUCUCAGAGGUAUCCAGUUGGCCACUGUGAGAAAAGAAUGCUGG